CUUUGUCUUUACUGCAGCUUCCUUUGGCGGUAAAGCGCGGCACUUGUCAAGAUAAUCUGGACGAACAAGAUACCCAAAAUUACGCGUAUAUAUAGAUGAGAUCCGUGAGCCUGAGGUAGAGGUCCCUGCGUGCGCCGCAUCCACAGCUGCAGAGAUAUUCUAGCCACGGAUCCGGAAUACCGCCGCCAGCACCGCCGCUUCCCAGCUGACAAGGACCUCUUGCGCCUAGUACCACGUAUGGCAGAGCUUUCACGAGUCUCGGACGCAAGAAAGGUCCCGGGACAAUCGCUUUCACCGACUCCGGCCCUCUCUGCGCUGCCGCUGUCCAUUGGAAUUCCCAGCCUUCGCCUUGGACGCAGGCACCGCUCUGCUAAUUGCAAAUGAUACAUCAUAUGUCAAUUUCAUAGGUUAUUUUAUACAUGUACUCACUCGCAGUCUCAUAAUGAGUCACGGCUUGUAGCUCCGUCCUAUAUAUAUAUAUUAUGUUUUUGUUUUCUUGUGCAUAAAAUAAUUUUAAAUAAUGAUAGCGAGCUCGGUUUUACAAUGUUGUUUAUUUCAUAAAUUUUGCUCUUAUAGACAAGAAUCUACUAUGCCACAGAUGGAAAUGCGUGUAUAAGCGGGUUUAUGCGAAAACACAUUCAAAUAAAAGUUUGAGAAGAAGGACAUGUAAUAUACA
Nasonia vitripennis (jewel wasp) is the source of this 676-nucleotide long non-coding RNA. RefSeq lists it as uncharacterized. The record is from RefSeq and is a predicted model, not a curated record. The transcript has 2 exons. Lineage: Eukaryota; Metazoa; Arthropoda; Insecta; Hymenoptera; Pteromalidae.